Molecule: long non-coding RNA, 600 nt
Filed under: Chrysolophus pictus (golden pheasant)
Lineage: Eukaryota; Metazoa; Chordata; Aves; Galliformes; Phasianidae
Description: lncRNA (ENSCPIG00010013294.1)
Source: RNAcentral
GACAACGAAUUGGCCUGUUACAAAGAAGUAAGUGAGGAUCUAACCUGUACCUGGCUGCCAGCACCCAGUGCUCCAAAUAAUUACACCUUAUUCUUAAAAUGGGAGAGAAUCACAAAACUUUUUAGAAGAAAUACAUCAUCACCUUCCAUCACAAUAGAACGAAAAAAUCUCUUCAUGAACCGUUCUGCAUCUAUCUGGAUAGCAGUGAACUAUGCCCAUGCCAGCUGUGUGAAAGGAAAGAACAUCUCAGUUACACCAAGAAAAGCAGGGAAGUGUUUGACACCAUCUAACAUAACAGCUCAUCAGAUCACAAAGCAAUUGGUCAUAAAAUGGAACUUAACCACAACUCCUACAGAAUAUGAGUUGAGAUACAGAGAGGCACUGACAGAAGACACUCAGUGGACAAGGGUGCCCAUAGAAAGCAAUGCUGUCAACAUCACUGUUUCAAAUGCUACAUCUUCAUAUAUCAUUCAGCUCAGAUGUAUAACCAAGGAUGGUCUUCACUGUGUUUGCAUUUGGAGUAGAGAGAUUUUGGUUCCUCACAAGCUCAUGAACAAGCCAAGAAUAUCAUAUAAUGCAACUACAGAAAUAUCACCAGGC